AGUGAACGCUGGCGGCAGGCCUAACACAUGCAAGUCGAACGGCAGCACAGUAAGAGCUUGCUCUUACGGGUGGCGAGUGGCGGACGGGUGAGGAAUACAUCGGAAUCUACUUUUUCGUGGGGGAUAACGUAGGGAAACUUACGCUACUACCGCAUACGACCUACGGGUGAAAGCAGGGGAUCUUCGGACCUUGCGCGAUUGAUUGAGCCGAUGUCGGAUUAGCUAGUUGGCGGGGUAAAGGCCCACCAAGGCGACGAUCCGUAGCUGGUCUGAGAGGAUGAUCAGCCACACUGGAACUGAGACACGGUCCAGACUCCUACGGGAGGCAGCAGUGGGGAAUAUUGGACAAUGGGCGAAAGCCUGAUCCAGCCAUACCGCGUGGGUGAAGAAGGCCUUCGGAUUGUAAAGCCCUUUUGUUGGGAAAGAAAAGCAGCAGGUUAAUACCCCGCUGUUCUGACGGUACCCAAAGAAUAAGCACCGGCUAACUUCGUG
This 492-nucleotide ribosomal RNA is filed under the name uncultured bacterium. RNAcentral describes it as "partial 16S ribosomal RNA". It matches the Rfam family "Bacterial small subunit ribosomal RNA", at positions 29 to 507 of the family's 1533-position model. The record is from RNAcentral.